GCUGCAGAGCGGGUCCUCCAGGGGCAGGCGGCACUGUCGCCUCCUGUUUGGCGUUGCCAUGGAAACGCAGCACGACCGUCUGUUGUGUGUGGUGUUUUAACGGCAGGUCGUCAAUCGUACCUAUAAGAAACCGAAAGGUAUCGUCACCUGAAGAUGCAGCUCAACCGGCGGAGCGGAGGUCGGGAGGCCACGGGUAACACUCGGCACAAAACGGUAGCGUCUCACUGAGUUCGGGUUUAUCCCGCUUUAUGGCGGAAUACACGAACGAUCGGCGUAAAGAAACGUCCGGACUAAAGUCAUGCCACACCGGAGUAUGGUUUCUCUUCGGUUGGAGGAAAUUCAGAUUCAUUACCGGUUCUCCCCUGGAACACGGACCGGAUGCUCCGUGUGCUGCUGGAGGCCGAGGAGCAGCAGCACCUGCAGGAGCUGGAGGACAAGAAGGAGGCAAUGGUGGAGAGACAAGCCAAGAUGAGAGAGAAGGCCAAAGCUCUGAGAGGGAGGAGAGAGAGCGAACAGCAGCAGCUGAUCUCAGACAAGCUGGAGCUUGUCAGGGAGCAGUGUGAGGAGCUGUGGACCGUGGAGAGCAGGUGCCACAAGCAGCAGGUGAGCGUGGAGCGAGCGGCUCAGGGGAGAAGCCAGCAGGAGCAGCGGCGACUGCAGCGGCAGGAAGACCUGCUGUUUGAUGAGCUGUGGGAGGCUGACCGCCAAGCCAAAGAGGAGUGGGAGGUGCGAUGAGCACAGAGGCAGCAGCAGAGGAACCUGGAGCAGCUGAAGGUCCUGUAGGCCCAGAUGGAGGCGACCGAGCUGCAGAGAGUCAAGGAGAAGGAGCUGAGGGAGGAGGAGGCUCGCCUCACGCUGCAGCAGCAGGAGGUGCAGUGCAUGCAGAAGCAGCGAGAGCACAAACUGCAGGCUCAGUAGGCCACCCGGUGGCAGCUGGAAAGGUGUUUCCAGCUGAAGAUGCAGCGUCUGGCCCGAGAGCAGCAGGAAGAGCUGCAGCUGGAUAUGAGCAUCCUUCAGCAGCUGCUCCAUCAGGAAACUGAACAGAGGCAGGAGGCUGCUCAGAGGAAGACGCCGCUGUGCCACAUGGUCGAUGCUGACAGGCUGAACCCCGCUGCCUGUGUCGUCUCAGGCAGAGCUGCAUGAAGAGCAGCAGAGGUACCGGCAGUAUCUGUCUGAGGAGCUGCAGAAGCAGAGGAGAGAGGAGGAGGAGACGGAGCAGCUGAUCGAGGAGAAACUGAAGAAGACCUGGACCAAGAGAGAGCAGCAGAGCUGCCUGCAGCGAGAGGCCAGAAACCACCUGAUGAAGGAGGUGAUGGAAGCUCGACACCUGCAGAUCCAGCACAAACUGAAGCUGAACAUGCAGAAAUGAGCGGAGCUGGCCAGAGAGAGGGAGGAGCUGAACAGACUGGUGGAGGAGAGCAGAGUGAAGGACGAGGAGGAGAAGAGACGGCAGAGAACAACCUGCGAGGCCUACCAGGCGGACCUCAGGGCCCAGAUCAGGCACCGGCAGCAGCUCUGGAGAGAGGGCAGAGCUCAGGCUCAGAGGGAGAGUCAGCAGGGUCUGAUCCUGCAGCUGCUCUACGACCAGAAGAAAGACGAGAUCCUGUCCAGACCCUCGUCUCACACUAUUGCUCCCCCCAUCCGUUCAGGAGAGCACAGGGAUCCAGGUCUGCCCCCCAGCACAGACUCACAUAGUCCACCUGCACAGGGAAGAGUCCUCCUCGGACAACCACAUGAAUGUAAAGAGAAAUAAAAGUCUGUUUACACUGUGGUCUCUGUCUUCGUCUGCUCACUGACUGAUGUGAACACGUCUCAUUCCACUGGGUACGUUCGGUUUCAGGCUGAGGGCCCCACUAAGGCCUCUGUAGACAGUGUCUCCUCACUGUCCAGCUGUUUGAAUCCAGGAGCUGAGUCUCCUCUCAGUGACUUUAAUAAGCAGCAGUCAGUGCUUUGCCCCAGGUUUUGUCUUUCAGGCUACACACAGACUUCUCUGCUGUAGUCCUAUGCAGCCUGACCAAUCGACCUGCAGACAUAACUCAGGGCUGAAAAUUAUUAGCACCUGUCCCCUUCAACAGCAUUUAGGUCGUGUUUCAGUGAACUCGGUGAGUAAACCAGGAUCAGAGCAUCCUAGUUUCCUCAGCACCAGACAGAAGGAGGUGUCUGUCUGUCCCCAGCUGCUCUGCCACCAACAGACUGAUUAUUGAUCGGAGUGAAAAGGUGGAAACAUAAGGCCUGAGGACGUCUGACAGGUUGUUAUUUACCAAUCAGCCACAUCAUUUAUUUAUUUAUAUAAAAUCCUCACUGUCACCCGACCCCUGGCACUUGACCUCACACUGCACUCAGAGCUGAAAGCCAGGCGCCCCGUGUCCUCGGCCUGUUGGCUAAACCAGUGUUUACUGAAGGAAGGGAGGUAGCCAUGUUGCUUAAAGUCUGAGUGUUUGAUUAUGAAGGAAUCACCCAGAAAAACCAUAGUAAUCCCUGGAUCCCAGCAGGAGCGUGGCUGGCCUGAUGUCGUUUCAGUGUCACUCAGUGCAUGCUGUUUGUUUUCACAGCUUCGUCCCGACCGAGCAGCAAGGCCUCGUCACUGCACUGACACACUGUACCUUGUGCUGUGUAUCAGCUGUAGGCGCAAAUACUUCUCAGAGGAGACGUUUACUCACAGAACAUGUGAGGAAGCUGCUUCUCCUCUUAGUGUCUCUACAUGAUUAUAGGCCUGAGAAGUGUUAUUAAGCUCCAGACUCAGUCAUGUUGUAAGGGAAACUGUUGCACAGCUAUAUCUACACACCAGCCAGCUGCUAGCACACCAUCCUUACUUCAUACCAGGAUACGCCAACACCUCAGGCCAGUCGAACCUGACCGGCGAGCACCUGCAGCCCGUGGCCCAGAGGGAAAUCCACCUGCACACCUUAAAUCAAAGUGCUGUCAAACACCUGCAUUGUGCCUGUGCACAUUUUUCUGUCAGUUCAUUUACAUGCAGCAUGUUGUUCAGAGAGAAGGGAGGUUUCUAUAGCAGAGCAUCACCUGAGUUCUCCCAUCUUGUCCUGAUGGGAACAGCAGGUCCAAGCAACAUGUCACCACAAUCCAUCCAACAUCUGGCUUGUUCCAGUCUGAUGUCACUGAUGACUGCAGAAAUGCUUCCACGUGCACAGAUCAGUGUGCACAGUGUGGGGCUGAAAGCUCUCUGCUGCUCCCAUGCACUUAUUUUUUGCUUGCUGCCUCCACAGCAGUGGUAGAUCAGUCCUGCCUGUGCUGGGUGGACUGGCAGCAGGUAAACAGCUCAUUCCAGCAGAAGGAGUGGUCUGGGAGUGGACUCGGCCACUGAUGUCAGAAUCACAGUUACGCUCAGACAGGUCUGAGACAGGUGGCUUCCCACAGUCAGUCCCAGGUGAGUGGCUGCAGCACAGUGUGUUCUGGAGCUGAGCAGGGCCUUUCCCUGCAUGUGUGGACCCACUGAGCAGCCCGAGAGGAUGACCGGCCACUACAACCCUUACUCCAAGGAAAUGGUUUUUAUCAUGGAUAAUAACCUGACUGUGAGACGCUUUCUGGGUUAAUGUUCAGAAACUCUUGGCCUGUUCCAUGUUACACAAUGUCUCAGAUAAGACUCGUCUCCUCGGACGAUGUGUUAGUGUGUCAGAUGUUGGAGGCGUCAGAUUCAGACACUGCACCAUGUAAAAGGGCUCAACAUGCCUCAUUACAAGUAAAAUGUGUUCGUAAUGUUGUUAGAUAGAUACUUUAUUAC
This is an RNA transcript of Monopterus albus (swamp eel), 3739 nucleotides long. It is a transcript of the gene named cilia- and flagella-associated protein 53-like, with no coding region annotated. Lineage: Eukaryota; Metazoa; Chordata; Actinopteri; Synbranchiformes; Synbranchidae. The transcript has 7 exons. The record is from RefSeq and is a predicted model, not a curated record.